ACAACAACAAGCUGUUUGUAGAGAGUUACUCAGUUUCCAUUUUAUUUUGCAAAAUUGUUAAAGAUUGGCAAGUCGUGGGGAUGGAGGGAGAGAUGCUAUUCAUCCUGUCCUGAAAGGUCUGCAAAGGUCUUCCUGGGAUCGUGAUGGUUCAUCCUGGCGGAUCCCCCCAGUCACCCAGCCUCCAUCAUGGCAGAGAAAUCGGUACUUCCAGCUUCUUCUCUUCCGAAAUCAGUGACCCCAGCUGCAGGCUGCUCUUGUCCUGAAUGGAAGAUGAAAACCAUGUCUAUGUAUCAGUGUUAAUCCUCAAAGUGUAACAGACUACUGCUGCGAGCAUUGCAGUUGAGAUCAG
RNAcentral lists this long non-coding RNA (349 nucleotides) under Gallus gallus (chicken). Lineage: Eukaryota; Metazoa; Chordata; Aves; Galliformes; Phasianidae. The record is from RNAcentral.